Dreissena polymorpha is the source of this 1974-nucleotide long non-coding RNA. RefSeq lists it as uncharacterized. The transcript is spliced from 6 exons. The record is from RefSeq and is a predicted model, not a curated record. Lineage: Eukaryota; Metazoa; Mollusca; Bivalvia; Myida; Dreissenidae.
UUACAUUACACUAAAUCAUUGUGUAUCCCUCCGUGGUCCAUUCGAAAGUAGUGCCUAUUUCUAAAGAGUUCCUUUUCUCUUCUUGAAUAUAAGCCAUUUAACAAUGUGAGACAUGUCUUUUGUGGUUAUUUGUAAUAUCCUGUAUGUGUCUGGAGUACUUUGAUGCCUUGGAUUGGAAGCUAACUUAAAAGAUGAACUUUUGAGGGUGUGUUUUCUAUUGUGUGGGGCUUUUGUCGAAAUUAGGAUUCCGAAACGCGUUUUUCUACGGUGGGUUCAUUCGACAGCGAUUUACUUUCUUAGAAGUUGCGAGACGGUAUGUUUUUGAUUGCAAUUAUUGGAAGAUGACAGAUCCAUCUUUAAAAUGAUACCAGGUUCGGAAAAAUUGAUACGUCGGAAAGGCAAGAAAAAUGCUGUGAAAGUUGUCAGUUUUAUAAUGGGACCCUAUGGGAAUCGGAAUUAGUGUAAUAUAACCUUUAAAAAGCACAUUUACUGCAAUGUCAAGGUCACAUGGAUUCGUCUGCAAGCGAGACAAGUAGAAAAUGAAUUUUAAUGAAUGUUUUGAUGAUUUGGGUGCUAAAAUAGAUGAGAGAUGUCAAUAUUUUGGUCCAAAUGGAUGUUUUAGGUGGUUUUGGACUGUUCCGGAUGGGUGGGGGACCUGGUAUGGACAAGUAAGGGUAACAUUUCCAACAAAUCUUAAAUGUAAAUAUUAUUAUGUCCAUAGAUUGAAGUUUCAGGUGGAGAGCAAGAUGAAAAAUAUGCCAAAUUACAUGCAUGCAACCCAUUUAUGCCAUUUUUCUCUUUGUUUGUAGGCCUGACCGUUUGUCCUUGAGCCGUAGAUGGUCAACAAUCCGCUAGCUGUCUUGCUCUGACUGGUGCACUGGACAUGAUUUCAAUAGUCAGCCUGACCAUGAUUGAGCUUAAGGAUUGUGCUGCGGAUGCAGCCUGUGCAGUUCCGGGAGAAAGUCACUGUCUUGUGCAAUGCGGUCUGGUAUCAGGUCUGGAUGAUCCUUGCCUGACCGCGGGUUUGUGUACACCUCAAUCCGACUCUGUGUCCUGAACAGAGGCCGCAGUGGUGCAGCGCUUGUGGACGAUCCAUCAACAUCCUGAAAGGUCAACACUACACCAAGCAGGGAAAAUUGAUCCUGAUAGUCAUCCCCAGGCCUGACCGUUUGUCCUUGAGCCGUAGAUGGUCAACAAUCCGCUAGCUGUCUUGCUCUGACUGGUGCACUGGACAUGAUUUCAAUAGUCAGCCUGACCAUGAUUGAGCUUAAGGAUUGUGCUGCGGAUGCAGCCUGUGCAGUUCCGGGAGAAAGUCACUGUCUUGGGCAAUGCGGUCUGGUAUCAGGUCUGGAUGAUCCUUGCCUGACCGCGGGUUUGUGUACACCUCAAUCCGACUCUGUGUCCUGAACAGAGGCCGCAGUGGUGCAGCGCUUGUGGACGAUCCAUCAACAUCCUGAAAGGUCAACACUACACCAAGCUGGGAAAAUUGAUCCUGAUAGUCAUCCCCAGGUAGUGGAAUGAAUGUACACUGAACUACAGAGGAAUCACACCCAAAUGACUUUCCUGCCACGACAUUAGUGUGGCCACUCGCGUAGGGAUCCUUAGCCAACGUGCUCUUUUGCAUGGUGACUGUGGGCAUUUUUGCAAAACUUACGCUUUCAACACUGGAUUUUAAAGGGAAUACUUAAUAAAAUGUUGCUAACAGGACUUAUUUAUAUGAGAGAGACUAUCUGGAUGCGCAUUAAGUGUCACUUUGUGUCGUAAGCUGUUGAAGGAGCGAUUUGCGCCUUUUUAAGUGUUAAUUUUGGGUAGCCGGCUUGUAUCGGCUUGAAAGCUGCAAAUUAUGCCUCUCAUCAUAAUAGCAUUAAUUUUUGUAAAUGCAAUGUGUAUGUUUAGAUUGUAAGUGAAGCUUUUAAUAAUAAUUUUCUUAAAAAACAUGAUUUUAUAUGCUGUCAGUGAGUUUUUUAUUGAAAA